AAGUCGUAACAAGGUUUCCGUAGGUGAACCUGCGGAAGGAUCAUUACUGAAUUUCAGGAGGCGUUGUUGCUGGCUAUGCAAGUGCACACGUCUUCGAUCUUCUAUACACACCUGUGCACAACUGUAGACGAGCUGGCGCAAGCUGGCGAGUCUAUGUCUUUACACACCCAAAUGUAUGUUACAGAAUGUUAAUCAAUGGUUGCCGUAACAAGUGACUAUAAAACCUAUACAACUUUCAACAACGGAUCUCUUGGCUCUC
Molecule: unclassified non-coding RNA, 259 nt
Filed under: air metagenome
Description: partial contains small subunit ribosomal RNA, internal transcribed spacer 1, and 5.8S ribosomal RNA
Rfam family: Eukaryotic small subunit ribosomal RNA (bases 1-46)
Source: RNAcentral